RNAcentral lists this transfer RNA (63 nucleotides) under Scalithrium magniphallum. RNAcentral describes it as "tRNA-Ala". The record is from RNAcentral. Lineage: Eukaryota; Metazoa; Platyhelminthes; Cestoda; Rhinebothriidea; Rhinebothriidae.
AACGAUGUAUUUUAUUAAGAAUAUUGGGUUUGCGUCUCAAAGGUGGAAAUUUUCUCUUCGUUA